Long non-coding RNA from Homo sapiens (human), 2985 nucleotides. Ensembl annotates it as long intergenic non-protein coding RNA 1304. NCBI's taxonomy places the organism in Eukaryota, Metazoa, Chordata, Mammalia, Primates, Hominidae. The record is from Ensembl.
GAUUCUAACUCCAAUCUUCUGAUUCCAAAGCCUUUGUUACUUGCUCCACCCCACAACUGCCUCACAAGCAUCCCAGAGUCCAGUCAGCAGACAGCAGAAGAGACUGUCAGCAGACCACCUUGGAGGGGAUGCUUGGAGCUGCCUAACGUGUGAUUCAAAGAUGAAUUCCAUGUGUUUGGAGAAGAAGCCCUAGCCUCAACACAAAGGUUGGCCACAUUCCAGCCAAGGUAGCACGGAGUGAAGGCCCGUGGAGGGAGAGCUGGGCUUUUCUGAACUACUUCAGUACACCUUGCUGUGCCUUGGCCUGCCGUGUUUCAUCCCCAUGGCUGUCCUCAGUGAUGUGCAUGGUCACUGCUCCCUUCACCACUGAGAAGACGGGCACAGGACAGUCAGGGGAUGUGUCCAAGGUCCCACAGCAGGAAGGGCUGGAGCCAGAAUGUGGUCUGAGAGGCUGGAUAUACAAAGAGACAAUGGCAUGACCAUCUGUACAAAUGGAACUAUGGCCCACAACCUGCAGCAGCCAGCCCAGGAAGCCAACCCGUCACCUGCAGCAGCCAGGAUGGAUGCUGGCCUGCCCUCACUGAUACUCAAGUCUAGUUUUAUAUGGCUCCAAACGCCUCCACCAUGAGCUCAAGGCAGUGAGACUGACUGAAAAACCCUCUCUAUUACAGACCACAACAUUGAACCCAACAUCCCCCUAAGUAGGUUGUACUCACAUCAUUGGUCUUAUGGGGAAAUUUUAAGACCUCCCACUUGUAAGGUUUUAUAGCCCUCUAUGGAAUAUUGAAGAAAGAGUAAAAUGCAUCCAAAAAAAAAAAAAAACACUAAACUGGAUAAAUUCUAAGGCCUCUUCAGGUCUUAAGAUGGCCAUUUUCUAGGUCCUCUUGCUGCAGCAGUGAAAUCCACAAACACGGACAAGUCAGUCAGUUACGUGCCUUUCAGAGAAAACUUCUGACUUAGGAAUUCCAGCUAUUUGGCCCAACCCAUAUUAGAUUGUGUUAUAAAGACAUGGUAAAUUACAUCACGAAGGGAAGAGCAGAGGAAACAUAAUAUUCCUUCAAGACCCAUCAGCUCAGAUGUUAGCAGAACACCCCUAAGGAGGAAAACAAGAAAUUUUGGGUUUGAACUUGGUACUUCCCAGCAGCCCUGGGAGUGGGGUCAGAAGCCCUGCUGGGGGCCAAAGAACUCUGAGGAUCAAAGAUGUUGAGCAUCACCUUAGAGGCCAAAGAUCAGAACAGUGGAGGUGGCCUUUGAAGCCCAACCUGUCUUUCACCAGAGAGUGAGAACGGCCUCUAUUUCCAGGAAGCUCACUGCAGCAAUAAUCAUGAUGCUCUGAGCCUGACAAGGUGAGAAUUUACUUUCAGCACCUGCAAUAGUUUCCUAUUAAAGUUACAUAUGAAACCCUGCCGUCUUGUACCAACUAAUGUUCACACCAGCGUUCCUAUUUUCAAGAUAAAUUGCAAAAUAAAAACUCUUGUUUUCGUUAGCAAAAGAAAACUUCUUUAGGAGGAUAAAAGGGAGAUGAAGAAACAGAAAACACAUCAGCUCUCCAUCCAGAUUACAGAAAGCAGAAAACAUCCUGAAGUGAAUAACAUAGGAAUCGCUCUUUUUCCCCCCUGAGAUAGCAGGUUACUUAUGAGAAACAAGCUUGAAAUCUCUGCACCUGGACCAGCUUCCAGAGGCUUUUGUCCUGACCAGCUGGCUUUGGGGAAGUAAAGGAAACCAGAGAAGAAGAGGCUGAAAGAAUUGGUUUCCACCGUGACCUUUGAACCCUCGGGCGAGUUGUCAGCCUCACUGAGGAUGAGUGUACUCCAUAUCAAGUGAGGUCACUUUACUCGCAAGCUUGUUGUGAGGACUGAAUGAAACCUUUUCUUUUUUCUUGGAGUUUCAGAGCAACGUCCCUGAGCCCAGCCCCACACUGGCUUGAGCCCUGUCGUCGGUCAAGACACGGUGCUUUCUCCCCUCCCCUCUGCACUCCAGCUUACUCUGCAGUCAGGAGGUGGCACCACGAUCCCCUUUAAGACUUUGCCACUUGGGCCAGCUGCGCCCCUGUGAAAUUCCCUGUUUCUAUUGCAGGCCACAAGGACGAGCUGAGAAAUGGCUUCCAGUCACCAUCUAGAUUAGAAAGCCUAUAUUUCAAAUAUAGAUAUAUCAAUUAUGCCUGUAAAAAGACAUUAAAUCCCACAGGGCUGUAAUUCCUAGACUCUACGAAUUUCAUCUUGCACCAAAUUUUAUUAUUUCAUUUAUAAUUCGGAUUCUUCAAAUCUAAGAGUGCCUGGCUCAAAAUUAAAAUACCUACAACUAUGCCAAAACUGGACUCUUUAAUUGCCUUACUGGAACCAGUAGCUGAUUCAAAGCAAAACGAAACAAAAUUCCUCCUUUCUCUGAUUUAGUGAAUCAAUGAUCUAACUGAACUCAUUUUUGGACUGAGUUUGCGGCACUUGCAGCCCUGAGGGACACAUUCCCCCACCACACUGAGCCUGCACUCCCAUCAAUGCAAAUGAACAUUUUGCUUAUUCAGAUUGGGGGGGUGAAGGAAGUCACAAAAGGGUUAAUACAUAUGGCAUUUCAUUGUAAUAUGUACUCACUACUAACUAAAUUAAAAGAGAUGUGAGUUAUUAAAAACUCCAUCUUAAGAAAGUAACAGAAAUCAGAGUUCAGAUUCGUUGUUACUGAGUUUCCAACCAACACCUGUGAGUUAAACCUACGGCCACCCUGAAAACGGUUCAUAUUUUCAAAAGCUUCAUCGAAGAUGAGCUGCACUAAAGAUUCAUAUUACAUAUCAUGCUGCAAUAAGAAAAUCAAAUAAGGCCUUUCCAUAUUCAAUAAUAAAGUUUAAAGAAAAGUAAUAUUUGUUUAGCCAGUUAGCCAGAAAUUAGAUGUAUCAGAAUACAUCAUUCUUUGAGCAUUUUAGAAAAAUCAGGGUAUUUCUACAUUGUGUUUUUCUUUGUAAGCCCUCAAAAAAUAUAGAGAAUAUUCUUGAAA